Molecule: unclassified non-coding RNA, 146 nt
Filed under: Leptinotarsa decemlineata (Colorado potato beetle)
Lineage: Eukaryota; Metazoa; Arthropoda; Insecta; Coleoptera; Chrysomelidae
Description: neuropeptide-like 4, transcript variant X3
Source: RNAcentral
GUCACUAAUAUAAAUACUACACCAGUUAUUUGAGAAUCAUAAGUCGAGUACCUUUCAUCAAGGAUAAAAAUGUUCAAGUUGUGUAUUUUUGCCGCUAUCCUCGCCGUUGCUGUGGCUUCUCCGGCACCUGAAGCAAAGGCUGACCC